This 491-nucleotide ribosomal RNA is filed under the name uncultured bacterium. RNAcentral describes it as "partial 16S ribosomal RNA". It matches the Rfam family "Bacterial small subunit ribosomal RNA", at positions 28 to 507 of the family's 1533-position model. The record is from RNAcentral.
GAUGAACGCUAGCGAUAGGCUUAACACAUGCAAGUCGAGGGGUAACGUGUUGGAAGCUUGCUUCCGAUGACGACGACCGGCGGAUGGGUGCGUAACGCGUAUGCAACUUGCCUCACAGUGGAGAAUAACCCGGAGAAAUCCGGACUAAUACUCCAUACAUUCUUAAGUACGCUUGUACAUGAGAGGAAAGAUUUAUCGCUGUGAGAUAGGCAUGCGUCCUAUUAGGUAGUUGUUGAGGUAACGGCUCAUCAAGCCGACGAUAGGUAGGGGUGCCGAGAGGCAGAUCCCCCACAUUGGGACUGAGACACGGCACAAACUCCUACGGGAGGCAGCGGGGAUGAAUAUUGGUCAAUGGAGGAAACUCGGAGCCAGCCAAGGCGCGUGAAGAAGGUAUGUCCUAAGGAUUAUAAACUUCUUAGGCGAGAAAGUAAGGACUUCCACGUGAUGAGAGUUUGAAGGUAGCUAGAGAAUAAGUAUCGGCUAACUCCGUG